UUAAAACUCUGUAUGCAUCAGCCCUGUUAUCUUUGCAGCACCCUGAGACAAUGAACUUUCUUAUAGAGACCAUUUUGUUUUCCUUUAUGCAGUUAGUUUCACUGCCUGGGAGUUGGGGACAUGACAAUGGCACUGAGAUUGGGAAUUUAAAUCCUAGAAGAGGCUUUAAUGACUGGGAGAUGGAAGAAGUAGGGCAAUUACUCCAAUUACUUGGCACUAUAGUGUUGGAGGAAGACUAGGAGGAUCUUAUGGUUUGGACAGCAAGCAAUGAUCUUGAUAUUCUGGCAAAGCUGUUAUAAUCUUCUCCAGGAACAAAAUGAUUAGUAUGAAUCUAAUUGGCCAUGAAAAAUGGUAUGGAGAACCAAAGCACCUACCAGAGUGGAGAAGCCAAUUUAACUCAAGAUAAUUUACAAAAAAAGGAAUUCUGGCUGUAACAAAUGCUACUUAUGUGAAGAAGGGUUGGAAACUGUUAAUCAUCUAUUUAUCCAUUGUAAAAUUGC
Molecule: long non-coding RNA, 500 nt
Filed under: Nicotiana benthamiana
Lineage: Eukaryota; Viridiplantae; Streptophyta; Magnoliopsida; Solanales; Solanaceae
Description: long non-coding RNA (NBEN_LNC002929)
Source: RNAcentral